CGCGAAUAGCUCAUUACAACAGCUAACAAAUCUACUUGAUCUUGACACAAUCCUACUUGGAUAACUGUGGUAAUUCUAGAGCUAAUACAUGCAUUAAAGCUCUGACCUUCGGGGAAGAGUGCAUUUAUUAGAACAAAACCAAGCGGCUUCGGCUGUUUUCGGUUGACUCAUAGUAACUGAGCUGAUCGCAUGGUCUUGCACCGGCGACGUGUCUUUCGAGUAUCUGCCGUAUCAACUUUCGAUGGUAGUGUAUCUGACUACCAUGGUGAUCACGCGUAACGGAGAAUAAGGGUUCGACUCCGGAGAGUUCGCCUGGGAAAUCGCGAACACAUCUAAGGAAGGCAGCAGGCGCGAAAAUUACCCACUCUCAGCACGAGGAGGUAGUGACGAAAAAUAACGAGACCGUUCUCUUUCGAGGCCGGUCAUCGGAAUGGGUACAAUUUAAACCCUUUAACGAGUAUCUAUGAGAGGGCAAGUCUGGUGCCAGCAGCCGCGGUAAUUCCAGCU
RNAcentral lists this ribosomal RNA (507 nucleotides) under Heterocephalobus elongatus. RNAcentral describes it as "SSU rRNA". It matches the Rfam family "Eukaryotic small subunit ribosomal RNA", at positions 88 to 590 of the family's 1831-position model. Lineage: Eukaryota; Metazoa; Nematoda; Chromadorea; Rhabditida; Cephalobidae. The record is from RNAcentral.